This 468-nucleotide ribosomal RNA is filed under the name uncultured bacterium. Its description in RNAcentral is "partial 16S ribosomal RNA". It matches the Rfam family "Bacterial small subunit ribosomal RNA", at positions 28 to 507 of the family's 1533-position model. The record is from RNAcentral.
GACGAACGCUGGCGGCGUGCUUAACACAUGCAAGUCGAACGGAAAGGCCCUGCUUUUGUGGGGUGCUCGAGUGGCGAACGGGUGAGUAACACGUGAGUAAGCUGCCCUUGACUUUGGGAUAACCUCAGGAAACUGGGGCUAAUACCGGGUAGGAGCUCCUGCUGCAUGGUGGGGGUUGGAAAGUUUCGGCGGUUGGGGAUGGACGCGCGGCUUAUCAGCUUGUUGGUGGGGUAGUGUCUUACCAAGGCUUUGACGGGUAGCCGGCCUGGGCGGGUAGCAUGGCCAAUGACAACUGAGAUAGGGCGCAGCCUCGAAUCGGACGAAACGGUGGAGAGUAUUAUCUAGCGGGAGGAGGCAUAACCCGACGCCGCCACGUGGGGUAAGUCAGCAAUGGGGUUGUAUAGCGAUUUCCUCUGUCACGAAGCGUGAGUGACGGUAAUGGGUGAAGAAGCACCGGCUAACUACGUG